Molecule: non-coding RNA, 69 nt
Organism: Podarcis lilfordi (Lilford's wall lizard)
Lineage: Eukaryota; Metazoa; Chordata; Lepidosauria; Squamata; Lacertidae
Source: the annotation of a GenBank genome assembly
GCGUAGCUUAGCCAGUACAGCAUGAAACUAUUAAUCUCAGGGUCAUGGGUUUGAGCCUUAUGUUGGGCA